CACGGACAGAGUCUCCCCUGUAUUUGCACGGCGUCGCACAAGUACAAGGUACAAACAGGAUACAACCAUAAUAACUAGAUGAAUAUAAAGACAGCUAUACAUUCAUACAUUCACCAUUCACAUCACAGUUUUACAUUCAAUGUUUAAACAAAAAUCCACGUAAAACCUUUUAAAAAAAACUGUUCCCUACGCGGAAACUUUUAUCUUUUAAAGAAUACUACCACGAGGGGUAGAAAACCUUUUUAUUUUACCAAAUCCAGAAAUCCUUUUAUUACAUUCAUGAAAAUCCACAUAUUCAAAAGUAAUGACAAUACUGAACCAUAUAAAUUAUCUGAGCUAUAUCAACGGAAUAGUAAAGAUAGGAACUACACCGAAUAACCUGGGUCGGAAGAUCUAUCGACCGCUACGUACGUGUCUCACGUCACGUCUCAACCCUCACCGCCCGCGAUACCUGAA
This 456-nucleotide long non-coding RNA is filed under the name Ananas comosus (pineapple). Its description in RNAcentral is "long non-coding RNA (ACOM_LNC039622)". Lineage: Eukaryota; Viridiplantae; Streptophyta; Magnoliopsida; Poales; Bromeliaceae. The record is from RNAcentral.